This 253-nucleotide ribosomal RNA is filed under the name uncultured bacterium. RNAcentral's name for it is "partial 16S ribosomal RNA". It matches the Rfam family "Bacterial small subunit ribosomal RNA", at positions 524 to 776 of the family's 1533-position model. The record is from RNAcentral.
CACGGGGGGAGCAAGCGUUGUUCGGAAUCACUGGGCGUAAAGGGUGCGUAGGCGGUCGGGUAAGUCUGAUGUGAAAUCUCACAGCUUAACUGUGAAACUGCAUUGGAUACUAUCCGGCUAGAGGAAUGGAGGGGAGACUGGAAUACUUGGUGUAGCAGUGAAAUGCGUAGAUAUCAAGUGGAACACCAGUGGCGAAGGCGAGUCUCUGGACAUUUCCUGACGCUGAGGCACGAAAGCCAGGGGAGCAAACGGG